UUCGCUGACGAGUGGCGGACGGGUGAGUAAUGUCUGGGAAACUGCCUGAUGGAGGGGGAUAACUACUGGAAACGGUGGCUAAUACCGCAUAACGUCGCAAGACCAAAGAGGGGGACCUUCGGGCCUCUUGCCAUCAGAUGUGCCCAGAUGGGAUUAGCUUGUUGGUGAGGUAACGGCUCACCAAGGCGACGAUCCCUAGCUGGUCUGAGAGGAUGACCAGCCACACUGGAACUGAGACACGGUCCAGACUCCUACGGGAGGCAGCAGUGGGGAAUAUUGCACAAUGGGCGCAAGCCUGAUGCAGCCAUGCCGCGUGUAUGAAGAAGGCCUUCGGGUUGUAAAGUACUUUCAGCGGGGAGGAAGGUGUUGCGGUUAAUAACCGCAGCAAUUGACGUUACCCGCAGAAGAAGCACCGGCUAACUCCGUGCCAGCAGCCGCGGUAAUACGGAGGGUGCAAGCGUUAAUCGGAAUUACUGGGCGUAAAGCGCACGCAGGCGGUCUGUCAAGUCGGAUGUGAAAUCCCCGGGCUCAACCUGGGAACUGCAUUCGAAACUGGCAGGCUUGAGUCUUGUAGAGGGGGGUAGAAUUCCAGGUGUAGCGGUGAAAUGCGUAGAGAUCUGGAGGAAUACCGGUGGCGAAGGCGGCCCCCUGGACAAAGACUGACGCUCAGGUGCGAAAGCGUGGGGAGCAAACAGGAUUAGAUACCCUGGUAGUCCACGCCGUAAACGAUGUCUACUUGGAGGUUGUGCCCUUGAGGCGUGGCUUCCGGAGCUAACGCGUUAAGUAGACCGCCUGGGGAGUACGGCCGCAAGGUUAAAACUCAAAUGAAUUGACGGGGGCCCGCACAAGCGGUGGAGCAUGUGGUUUAAUUCGAUGCAACGCGAAGAACCUUACCUGGUCUUGACAUCCACGGAAGUUUUCAGAGAUGAGAAUGUGCCUUCGGGAACCGUGAGACAGGUGCUGCAUGGCUGUCGUCAGCUCGUGUUGUGAAAUGUUGGGUUAAGUCCCGCAACGAGCGCAACCCUUAUCCUUUGUUGCCAGCGAUUAGGUCGGGAACUCAAAGGAGACUGCCAGUGAUAAACUGGAGGAAGGUGGGGAUGACGUCAAGUCAUCAUGGCCCUUACGACCAGGGCUACACACGUGCUACAAUGGCGCAUACAAAGAGAAGCGACCUCGCGAGAGCAAGCGGACCUCAUAAAGUGCGUCGUAGUCCGGAUUGGAGUCUGCAACUCGACUCCAUGAAGUCGGAAUCGCUAGUAAUCGUGGAUCAGAAUGCCACGGUGAAUACGUUCCCGGGCCUUGUACACACCGCCCGUCACACCAUGGGAGUGGGUUGCAAAAGAAGUAGGUAGCUUAACCUUCGGGAGGGCGCUUACCACUUUGUGAUUCAUGACUGGGGUGAAGUCGUAACAAGGUAACCGUAGGGGAACCUGCGGUUGGA
Molecule: ribosomal RNA, 1441 nt
Filed under: Salmonella enterica subsp. enterica serovar Stanley
Lineage: Bacteria; Pseudomonadati; Pseudomonadota; Gammaproteobacteria; Enterobacterales; Enterobacteriaceae
Description: bacterial SSU rRNA
Rfam family: Bacterial small subunit ribosomal RNA
Source: RNAcentral